UACAGAGGAGCCAAGCGUUGUCCGGAUUGACUGGGCGUAAAGCGCACGCAGGCGGUCGCGCGCGUGGGGUGUGAAAUCUGGCCGCUUAACGGCCAGGCGCCAUCCCAUACGGCACGACUGGAGUGAUGCAGAGGUCGGUGGAAUUCCCGGUGUAGUGGUGAUAUGCGUAGAGAUGUGGAGGAACACCAGUGGCGAAGGCGACUCUCUGGUCUGUAACUGACGCUGAGGAGCGAAAGCGUGGGGAGCGAACAGG
Molecule: ribosomal RNA, 253 nt
Filed under: uncultured bacterium
Lineage: Bacteria
Description: partial 16S ribosomal RNA
Rfam family: Bacterial small subunit ribosomal RNA
Source: RNAcentral